Molecule: ribosomal RNA, 492 nt
Filed under: uncultured bacterium
Lineage: Bacteria
Description: partial 16S ribosomal RNA
Rfam family: Bacterial small subunit ribosomal RNA
Source: RNAcentral
AGUGAACGCUGGCGGUAGGCCUAACACAUGCAAGUCGAACGGCAGCACAGUAAGAGCUUGCUCUUACGGGUGGCGAGUGGCGGACGGGUGAGGAAUACAUCGGAAUCUACUUUUUCGUGGGGGAUAACGUAGGGAAACUUACGCUAAUACCGCAUACGACCUACGGGUGAAAGCAGGGGAUCUUCGGACCUUGCGCGAUUGAAUGAGCCGAUGUCGGAUUAGCUAGUUGGCGGGGUAAAGGCCCACCAAGGCGACGAUCCGUAGCUGGUCUGAGAGGAUGAUCCGCCCCACUGGAACUGAGACACGGUCCAGACUCCUACGGGAGGCAGCAGUGGGGAAUAUUGGACAAUGGGCCCAAGCCUGAUCCAGCCAUACCGCGUGGGUGAAGAAGGCCUUCGGGUUUUAAAGCCCUUUUGUUGGGAAAGAAAAGCAGCAGGUUAAUACCCCGCUGUUCUGACGGUACCCAAAGAAUAAGCACCGGCUAACUUCGUG